GAGGCGGAGGACUGCGUGCCGCGCGUCUUCUGCGAGCUCGGCCUACACGCCAAGCCAUACCAGUUCGCCGGCAAGGAGCUCCUCAUGAGCCUUGCUGAGCGCUACACUCCCGAACUUCUUCAGAAAAACGUGUCAAUACUGAAGAAGGCGUCAACGGGCGUCUACGACAAGAGGCAGUGCAGGAAGCUGUUCAGGUGUAAUACCCCUGAAGCGGUGUGAGCAGAUAAGCGUGUGUGGAACAGGUCAGCCGAACUCUCGGCUGACGGUCACGAGGCAUAUUACAGGUUGUUGGUUCGUGCGGCCCUAUAUGUACAGAUUUCCUCUGCACCGACCAAUUCGCACAAGAGGGCCUACCUCAACCAAUCACUCGCCUUGAUUGAAACGUGCCAGUUUUCGUUGAAGGCUUGCCACUUUUCCGGAAAGUCUUGAGUCAUGUUGUGAUCGGUAUGUCCCCACUACAGCGUGCAUUACUGUAAUAGUCCCAUUUCGAGCCUUUACAGCUUACUGAUGCGUCUCACGCUCUACAAGACAACCGUCUGCCGAUGUAAAGAUGUUGUUUGCACGCUCAUGUCGGUGGAACUACAAUCCGCUGAAAUGCAUAUGUGCAUGUGGGCAAAAGCUGCCAAUGCUCAAGAUAAGCUAUUAGUUCUUUUGUCCAUUGUCUGCGUUCGCGAAAUACAUGUACCUGUAUGUGCCUGUGCUGUGGCUUUGAUGUUUUUGUAGCAUUUGUUGUACGCCUCAGGAGCACCUUCGCUCUGAAUGCGUAUCGCUGUCGCGUCAUCCUAAGUCCGUGUACCGCGAUUGAUUGUGUUUUGUCAUGCCAUAUGUCCAGUACAUGUGUUCUGUCAGUGUCUUCGCCUCCCGUCAUCAGCUCAUCAUGAUAUUUCCAAUAACGUCAUCACGGAUCGCCGACGCGUUUCCCGACUCGGGAUAAUCAUCAACACGUUGUCCCUUUCUAUACUCCUUACUUGCAUGCUUGGAGUGAGAGGAACGUGUUGUGCUUGUGGAUAUCAUAUUGUCUGUGUACCGUAUUUUAACUAUGUUAAAAAUGGUGCUCAUGACCAUAUUUAUAUUUAUGGCUCUCUCAACGCUGCAGUUUUCUUAAUGGGUCAUUGAUUUAUGACAGAGGCUUUCCAUCAGAGAAGAUCAUGUUUUCUUCGUCAGAGCAGUUUCAGUGUCUCAUUGUCUGUGCAAUCCAAGGCCCAUAACUGUUUGUCCUGUGGUCCAGUUCCAGUUCUGGUUUGGGCCACUGAUCUUGUCCGGGUCUGGCGAGGGUCUGCUCAGAUCUGUUCUGCUCACGCCGCCACCUCUUGCAGCAGUACUUGAUGCCCUUACACCGCAACCAAAUCGCCGACUGCGAAAUGAAUGCAUAGUCGCUGCCUAUUUGUGAGCAAGCCUUCCACAAGUGAAUGAGGUCAAUACAAUGCCGUCCACUGGGCUUUA
Molecule: long non-coding RNA, 1443 nt
Organism: Pollicipes pollicipes
Lineage: Eukaryota; Metazoa; Arthropoda; Thecostraca; Pollicipedomorpha; Pollicipedidae
Exons: 2
Source: RefSeq, a predicted model, not a curated record